GACGAACGCUGGCGGCGUGCUUAACACAUGCAAGUCGAACGAGAUCCAAUGUGUAGCAAUACACAGGAAGAUCUAGUGGCGAACGGGUGAGGAACACGUGAGAAACGUACCCCAGACUUUGGGAUAACAGUCCGAAAGGACUGCUAAUACCAAAUAACGUCGGAAGUCCGCAUGGACAUCUGACGAAAGGGAUUCCGGUUUGGGAGCGUCUCGCGGACCUAUCAGCUAGUUGGAGGGGUAACGGCCCUCCAAGGCAACGACGGGUAGCUGGUCUGAGAGGAUGGUCAGCCACACUGGGACUGAGACACGGCCCAGACUCCUACGGGAGGCAGCAGUGGGGAAUCUUGCGCAAUGGGCGAAAGCCUGACGCAGCAACGCCGCGUGCGGGAAGAAGGCUUUCGGGCUGUAAACCGCUUUCAGUAGGAACGAAACUGACGGUACCUACAGAAGAAGGAGCGGCCAACUAUGUG
Molecule: ribosomal RNA, 470 nt
Filed under: uncultured bacterium
Lineage: Bacteria
Description: partial 16S ribosomal RNA
Rfam family: Bacterial small subunit ribosomal RNA
Source: RNAcentral